GUUACAGUGAUAGUGCUGGGUGGAUGGUUGGACUUGAUGAUCUUAAGGGUCUCUUCCAACCUUGAUGAUUCUAUGAUUCUGUACUGUAUCUGUGGAAGCACUGACUUUGAAGUAAAGAUCCUCAAAACUGGGGGAUUUUUUUAGCAAGCAAACUAUUUACUGAGUUAGUACAUGCCUGCACAGUUGCUGAGGCACAUCUGAAAGCAUGCCGUCAGCCAGCUCUCCUGACAAGACAGUGAUAUUAACUUCAACUAGCAGAAGAAUUAAUGGGGGAAGAGUCCUUGCUCUUUUGUUGGCUUGGGUGAGUGAAUUGGAUCAUCUUGUAAUCAGACAAGCACCAGAGCCAACAACUGCAAAGGCGAUUGCAGCAUUUCUUCCUCCUGGUGGCAGCAGUCUGCUCACUCAGAUGCAUAAUACACAACCUGAGGGUUAGUUACACAACAGGUGAAGGUGUCAUUUCCUAUUGGGCCCUACCCAGCACUACACUGGGUGUUGGCUCUGAUGGGUAAUCAACCUGACAAGCUUACUAGUCACCUGGCCACCCUAGCACCAUGCUGAGAUAAGACAACUACACUGGUGUCUCUUCAACCCAGAGUGCUGUGCUGUCUGUAGUCUUGCCCUAUGCAAUAAAAAUUAUUAAUAGAUGAUGAUUUGAGCAUUAACACCUGAAAUACUGUUUGGUCUCUAGUUAGUUUUCUCAAAUUACUGUCACCCUGAUUAUACUAACUUCAUUUGUAAAAUUAUACCAAUUUACAUUGGGCAUUAGCAUGUUAAAUGGUUUAGUUGCCAUACAGAUGGUCAUUCUUUUGGAUGGGGUGGGUAAUGUUUGGGGGGUUUUUGUGCAGUCUGUAUUGAACUCUCAGAUGCAAAUCCUUGCUUGAGGAGUUGUCUUGCAAAGAAGCACUAAGACACAGCAGCUGACAUUAACAGUGUGUUGCUGUGAUUAGCAGACAAAACCUGCAUAAGUCUGUCAUAUCUGCAAGGACUUUCUGUAGCUGCCCUAAAGGUCAGCUGUUUAGUUUAGCUGAAACUUCUUCACAAAGCUUUUAAUGUGAAAUGAAAAUACUUCCCCUUGCUUCAUCACUCCAACUAUUACAUUGAUGCAAUAGACUAAAAAUUGCUCCAGUAGCACUUGUGCUAUUUUGGUCCAAUUUUAAAAACAAUCCUAACAAAUUCUUAAAUAAGAAAGUGAUUUUAUCUUCACAGAAACUAUUACAUAGAGCAGUUAAUGAAGUUUAUUUGUAUUUGGUAAAUUGAGUUGGAAUACCUGUAAUGAAAGUCUUUUAAGCACCUGCUGUGGAACCUAGGACACUGAAUUAGAUCAUGUCCUAGUUAGCAGUUACCUGCUUAACAGUGUAUGUUCUUUAAAGAUAUCAGCAAAGAACUGUUUGGACUUAGCAGAGGGAAGUGCUGAGGGCAGAACUUCUUUUACAUGCUUCAGGUACAGGAGAGUGGCACCUGAUGCUCAGUCUUACUAACAUCAUUUCAUUUCCACAAAAUGCCAACCCCCAAAAAACCCCAUUUUGUAAAAUGAGGGAAAAAUCAGUCAUGGCUGCCACAGGUUUGCUCUCCAUCCACGACUCAAAGGUUAAAGCAUCUAUGCAGAACACUGAAGGUAUGGUUUUAGUAUCUGCUGCCUGUGGGGAGCUGUGAAAGUGAACUGAAGGCCUAGGAGAGGAUGUGAGUUAAGACUUCUUGGGGAUGGCGUUAAGGUAGUCCCUUUUUAAAGUAAUUCAUACCCAAAGUAAAAUCAUGAUUGUUCCUUCACUGGAGUGGGCAUUUGGACCUUUUUUUACAGGCUCAGUGAUUUCUUUAGCACUGCAACUUAAUUGUGAAACAGUGGUGGAAAUUCUGAGCCAUGGUUUAAAAUCAAAUCAGAGGUGCCAGCUGCACUGUAUUUGGAUUGUGUUGCAGUUGGCAUAGCCUAUGCAUGUUCAGAUGACACUUCCUGUUCAAAACUUCCAAAAGCUUACACAUGAGAACGAUCAGUUUCUGGCCUCAGGCAAAAAUAAAAAUAUAAAUGUUGUUGGAACACUCAAAGCUUGUUUCAAAGUACAUACUAGAGGAGAAAGUAAUAAAAGUUUCAUCAAGGGUUAAUUAAAAAAAAAAACAAGAAAACCCCCAACACAAACUCAGAAUUUCCUGCAGAGCUUAAGUGCCUCUAGAAUUGUACUGCAGUCCUAGUUCCCAAAUCCCUGUUCCAUUUGUGAUCUAAAUGUGUGCAUUCAAAGCUUCUCACUGCUGCUGUGCAAUGGCUACCUUGGUGAGAAGGACCUGAAGCCACUUAAGCAUCUCCUGUUGCACUUUUGCAGAAGCAUUUUAGAUCUUACAGGGCAAAACAGCCUCUUACCAAUCAGCCUUAUCAGGAAACACAAAGUUAGUGUUCCAGUUGGAACCUCGAAGCACAUCUAUCCACACAAAACCUAACAUGCACUCUGCAUGUUAAAACAGCCACCCUCGUUAUAAGCAAUUUGAUCCCCUUUCUACUGGAAGAAAGGACAAAACUUCACCUUUCCCUCAGUUCUUGGAAGAGUGCUUUAACCACCACAGGCAUGCAGAGAUCUGUGGGAGGGAAGGCAAGAUCUUGAUCUCCCCUUUUCCCCCCACACUGUCUCAGUUUGUUUCCUUAAAUAACUGCAACAGAGCUUGCCUCUAGAGCUUUGGGUUUCUGCGUUGGCAGUCUCAUAGCAGGCCUCAGACAGGUCCUGUUAUCUUUCUUCUGUAUGAAUAUGAUGACUAUGAAAUGUCAGUUCAGCUACAGUGGGGAACUUUCCACAGGAUUUACUUACUGAAGAGUAUUCCCUGAGUGCAAAGGCGAUCUUAGACAGAUUUGUUGUUCCCUGUAGGAGGUAAAAUUCAAAACUUCUUUAGGAAGGAAUGAAGAUGUAUUUGCACAGAAGUUGGUAAGAGAAUGAACUGUAACAGCUUAUCUCUCUCUCUCCUGUUCCGAUGACAGAUGUCAUCACCAGUAGGAGGGUAUCUUCACAGAAAAAUAGUACAGCAAACAAGCUGCCAGAAGCUCAACAGAUGCUUGCAUUGGUCCGAAGUGCUGAAGAAUUUGAGUGCGAAAUUUGUUUCUUAAGUUUUGGAACCAACUGCAGGCCUGACUGUAAACAAAAUUGUGAAGCUCUCUCAAUUUCUUUAGCUCUUCUUCAUCAGCAACCUGUAGGACGAAAAUUAAGAAAACAUGAUUAGUGAUAAAGAAACAAUUAAGGUGUUUAAGCUAAAAUAAAAAAUCACUCAAUUUCAACUAUA
This is a long non-coding RNA of Corvus hawaiiensis (hawaiian crow), 3255 nucleotides long. RefSeq lists it as uncharacterized. Lineage: Eukaryota; Metazoa; Chordata; Aves; Passeriformes; Corvidae. The record is from RefSeq and is a predicted model, not a curated record. The transcript is spliced from 2 exons.